UGGGGAAUAUUGGACAAUGGGCGGAAGCCUGAUCCAGCAAUGCCGCGUGUGUGAAGAAGGCCUGAGGGUUGUAAAGCACUUUCGGUGGGGAGAAAGAGGCCAUUGCUAAUAUCAAUGGCGGAUGAUGUUACCCAAAGAAGAAGCACCGGCUAACUCUGUGCCAGCAGCCGCGGUAAUACAGAGGGUGCGAGCGUUAAUCGGAAUUACUGGGCGUAAAGGGUGCGUAGGUGGUUUAGUAAGUUAGAUGUGAAAUUCCUGGGCUUAACCUGGGGACUGCGUCUGAUACUGCAAAGCUAGAGUACUGUAGAGGGAAGUGGAAUUUCCGGUGUAGCAGUGAAAUGCGUAGAUAUCGGAAGGAACAUCAGUGGCGAAGGCGACUUCCUGGACAGAUACUGACACUGAGGCACGAAAGCGUGGGGAGCAAAC
RNAcentral lists this ribosomal RNA (426 nucleotides) under uncultured bacterium. RNAcentral describes it as "bacterial SSU rRNA". It matches the Rfam family "Bacterial small subunit ribosomal RNA", at positions 355 to 773 of the family's 1533-position model. The record is from RNAcentral.